RNAcentral lists this long non-coding RNA (620 nucleotides) under Panax ginseng (ginseng). Its description in RNAcentral is "long non-coding RNA (PGIN_LNC017604)". Lineage: Eukaryota; Viridiplantae; Streptophyta; Magnoliopsida; Apiales; Araliaceae. The record is from RNAcentral.
AAUUAUUCAAGAGUUUUUAAAUGAGUGGACUUACUACAUGGUUUGGCAAUCCUCCCUUAUAGAUAAGAAUAGAUGCCCUCAGCCUCUUCAGGACCCUUGGGUCUACUAAUGUCAAAAUCUCCAGUGACAUAAUAAAUGACAUACUAACCAUCCUUCAUCCUUGUCACUUAAUCGUUUGAGCUAGUGGUAUCUAAGCAAUUCAUCAUUUUUUUGCCUUGAUAUGUGAGUCUUCAUUGAUACCGAGCUCGAGUUCUUUAAGGAAGCCCCAUAAAAUUUGAUGUUAUGAGUCAAAUGGAAUGUUUGGUAAUGCAGUUUGACCAUUUGAGUUUGUUGUUAGCUACUUGUGCUCAUAAUGACUGAGGUUGGUCACUCCUGCUUUUUAUUUGAUGAAAGGAAUUUAUAUAUAGAAAGGAAGAAAUUAGAAGAGAGAAAUAAUAGUCCUUUCUAGGAAAGGGGGAAACAAACCUCAAUUAAGGACAACCUUUUGGCUCAUCUGAAUCUUAGAGAUUGUGAUGCUUUUAAAGCACUAACAUUUGAUGCUUAGAUUGAAGUGACACUUUGAACUUUAGCAUUCCUCUUCAACCACAUAACCUCAAUGACCACAAGCAAUUAAAAUCCUG